RNAcentral lists this ribosomal RNA (462 nucleotides) under uncultured bacterium. RNAcentral's name for it is "partial 16S ribosomal RNA". It matches the Rfam family "Bacterial small subunit ribosomal RNA", at positions 28 to 507 of the family's 1533-position model. The record is from RNAcentral.
GACGAACGCUGGCGGCGUGCUUAACACAUGCAAGUCGAGCGGUAAGGCCUUUCGGGGUACACGAGCGGCGAACGGGUGAGUAACACGUGGGUGAUCUGCCCUGCACUUCGGGAUAAGCCUGGGAAACUGGGUCUAAUACCGGAUAUGACCUCCUAUCGCAUGGUGGGUGGUGGAAAGAUUUAUCGGUGCAGGAAGGGCCCGCGGCCUAUCAGCUUGUUGGUGGGGUAAUGGCCUACCAAGGCGACGACGGGUAGCCGACCUGAGAGGGUGACCGGCCACACUGGGACUGAGACACGGCCCAGACUCCUACGGGAGGCAGCAGUGGGGAAUAUUGCACAAUGGGCGAAAGCCUGAUGCAGCGACGCCGCGUGAGGGAUGACGGCCUUCGGGUUGUAAACCUCUUUCAGCAGGGACGAAGCGCAAGUGACGGUACCUGCAGAAGAAGCACCGGCUAACUACGUG